Long non-coding RNA from Gavialis gangeticus (Gharial), 431 nucleotides. RefSeq lists it as uncharacterized. The record is from RefSeq and is a predicted model, not a curated record. Lineage: Eukaryota; Metazoa; Chordata; Crocodylia; Gavialidae. The transcript is spliced from 3 exons.
UUGUCCCAUCUGCAAAGGUUCGGAGUAUUCAGAAACAGGCGUUGGGGCCUUUUGCUUAGCAUCCCUUCUGCAGCUUGGCCUGGGCCCCUUCAAAAUGGCCAGGGCACGCAAUGAAGGGCAGUUAGGGGUCCUGAUGCUGGAGGUGCUGUCUGUCAAAAGAGCUAUAAAGCCACCACCGGACCAUCAAGGUCCUUGGAAACCCUGAGACCUGUGUUACAAAGGGAUGAGGUCAACCAGAAAGGAAGGAUUCACUUUAUAGGUACCAGAUGACUGUCAGGUACUGGUGCCCUAAAGCAUAGGUUUUCUUUUAAAAAUGUUUCAUAACAAUAACUUACUGUUUCCAUAGUGUAAAGAAGAAAAGUCCCUGCAAACUUUUUUUUGUUGGUAUUUCAUUCUGCCCCUCUGCAUUUGUGUUUGCAUGCGACUUGCAU